CCUGAAGGAUGUGCAUACUCUCCAUUCCAAUGGCCACGGUCCUCGGGGCUUCUGGAUCAGUCGCUCCCUCUAGCCCGAGAAUAAAUCCAAGCACAAGAAACUAUUCACGAUGACAUGAAGAAAUUCCCCACCUCGCCUCCUCCGUCCCUCCUUCCUGUUACCCAAGAAACCCAAACCCUUACCCUUACCCUCAGAACAUCCGAUUCCGAUCCAUGGCUCUUCUCCAGGUCCCCCAACCAACCUUCUAUUCGUCUUCUCUUCUUGGGAGGAGCGCUCGAUGGGCUGCUCUUUCUUCGUCUUGGAGCGGAGAUCGGUGUUCGCCGGAUGCGAUUUCGAGGUCGUUGAGCGUUUGGAGGAAGCGGCGAUCGGGCCGGAAGCUCGGCAGCGUCUUGGCAAUGGCGGAUCCGUCGAUGUAUAAAAUGAAUCUUAAUGAGUAUAUGGUGACUCUGGACAAGCCGUUGGGCAUACGUUUCGCGUUCUCCGUGGAUGGCAAGAUCUUUGUACACUCGCUCAAGAGAGGGGGGAAUGCAGAAAAAUCAAGGAUAAUCAUGGUGGGAGACAUGCUAAAAAAGACAAGUAAUAAAUCAGGUGGUGGGUUCAUUGACAUCAAGGAUUUAAGCGAUGCAGAGAUGAUGCUUAAGGAUGCAGCAGGAUCAUUUAGUCUUGUACUUGAAAGACCAUUCUCUCCUUAUCCUAUUCAUCAAUUACAUUUAAAUGGCGAUUUUUAUAACUUAUUUAAUAGAGGCCGGGUUCCAUUUGCUACUUGGAAUGGAUCUUUGAUGGCAUCACAUCUGCAACCAUCUUCUGAGAGUAAUGGAAACAGUGGGUUUGCCAUUUUUUCUCCAAAGUUCUUAGCAUCACAUGGAUGGAUGCUUCUCUCAAGUGAACAAAGUGGAUCCACUGAUUCUCGAGUGCAGAGUAAUGGGAGGUUUCUUGCAAAACAUACGAGUGAGAUCAUAGGUAUUUUUUCUGAGGAAGAGAGUGAAGAUGUUGAAUGGGCUUAUGGUAGCUUUCCACUAGAGGAGUAUAUCAAGGCACUUGAACGAGCAAAAGGCGAGUUAUACUAUAAUCACUCACUUGGCAUGCAAUACAGCAAGAUUACUGAGCAAAUAUUUGUUGGUUCAUGCAUACAGACAGAGAAAGACGUGCAGAUGUUGUCAAAUGUUGUGGGGAUCACUGCUGUUCUAAAUUUCCAGAGUGAAAGUGAGCGUGCCAAUUGGGGAAUUAAUUCAGAAUCCAUCAACAACUCCUGUAGCGAAUGUAACAUUCUGAUGGUUAACUAUCCGAUAAGGGAGGUGGAUUCUGGAGACCUAAGAAAGAAGCUUCCAUUCUGUGUAGGGCUUCUAUUACGGCUUUUGAGGAAGAAUUUUCGAAUAUAUGUGACUUGUACAACUGGCUUUGAUAGAUCCCCAGCAUGUGUGAUUGCCUAUUUACACUGGAUUCAAGAUACUGCUCUCCAUGCUGCAUACAAUUUUGUGACUGGAUUGCACUCAUGCAGGCCUGAUAGAGCUGCAAUUGUCUGGGCAACUUGGGAUCUUAUUGCCAUGGCAGAAAAUGGAAAACAUGGUGGACCUCCAACACAUGCUGUCAACUUUGUGUGGAGUAAUGGGAGCCGGGAGGGUGAUGAGGUAUAUUUGGUUGGGGAUUUCAUAAGCAAUUGGAAAGAAUCUAUCAAGGCUGUCCACAAGGGUGGUUCAAAAUUGGAGGUUGAACUCCGACUCCGACAUGGGAAGUAUGUUUUUGAUUGAUUGAUUUAUUUCUUCUCUUUCCUGAUCCAUGGGAAGUUUUGUCUUGGAACAUAUAUUGUUCUCCUUGUAGGGUUUUCUCAAUUAUCAGUUAAAUUGUCAAAAGAUAUCACUAUAAGUUCAUUGUUAAUGGACAAUGGAGGCACUCGACAGCACUGCCUACUGAAACGGAUGAACAUGGCAACGUCAACAAUGUUAUUAGAGUUGGUGAUAUUGCUCGCAUUAGACCUGCUCCCACCCAGCUACAAAUAAAGGAUCCAACAGUUGUCAAGGUAAUUGAAAGACCAUUGACUGAGGACGAGCGGUUCUUAUUGGCCUUUGCAGCACGGCGUAUUGCAUUUUCUAUCUGCCCAAUCAAACUGGCUCCCAAAUAGAUCUUCUGGCUUCCGUUCUGACUACUUUUUCUUCCUUUGGGAUAAUUGUGCUGCAUGGUAUAGGAAAGUGCGGAGUUAAAAGAGGCCAGAUUGUUGUCACCAUAUGAUAUCUCGAGAAUAACACGUUAUGAAGGAUAUCACGGGAAUCCAAUCAUGUAAGAUGCCGGUAAUGAUAUUCCAUAAAUUCAUUGGAGGUAAACUAAUGACUGUAUCUAGUUAUGACUUGCGAACUUAUUUUAUUUCUUUAUUUUUGGUAAAGAUCUUUUUUAUUUCUUUUGAUGCUU
Molecule: RNA transcript, 2403 nt
Organism: Elaeis guineensis (African oil palm)
Lineage: Eukaryota; Viridiplantae; Streptophyta; Magnoliopsida; Arecales; Arecaceae
Gene name: phosphoglucan phosphatase LSF1, chloroplastic
Source: RefSeq, a predicted model, not a curated record